GUUGUAUAGUUAAGUGAGAAAGCGUACAGGGCGGAUGCCUUGGCAAUCAGAGGCGAAGAAGGACGUGCUAAUCUGCGAAAAGCGUGGGUGAGUUGAUAAGAAGCGUUUAACCCACGAUGUCCGAAUGGGGAAACCCGAUAGGCGAAGAGCCUAUCAUUGCGAGGUGAAUAAAAUAGCCUCGUAAGGCGAACCGGGAGAACUGAAACAUCUAAGUACCCCGAGGAAAAGAAAUCAACCGAGAUUCUGUGAGUAGCGGCGAGCGAAAGCGGAGGAGCCAGUAAGUAAUAGCAGCAGAGAUAGAGGAAUUGUCUGGGAAGGCAAGCGACACAGGGUGAUAGCCCCGUACUUAAAAUCUAGGCUGUGGUACUAAGCUUACGAGAAGUAGGGCGGGACACGAGGAAUCCUGUCUGAAGAUGGGGGGACCAUCCUCCAAGGCUAAAUACUCCUGAUUGACCGAUAGUGAACCAGUACUGUGAAGGAAAGGCGAAAAGAACCCCGGUGAGGGGAGUGAAAUAGAACCUGAAACCCUGUACGUACAAGCAGUGGGAGCCCGCAAGGGUGACUGCGUACCUUUUGUAUAAUGGGUCAGCGACUUAUAUUUUGUAGCGAGGUUAACUGAAUAAGGGAGCCGAAGGGAAACCGAGUCUUAACUGGGCGUUGAGUUGCAAGGUAUAGACCCGAAACCCGGUGAUCUAGCCAUGGGCAGGUUGAAGGUUGGGUAACACUAACUGGAGGACCGAACCGACUAAUGUUGAAAAAUUAGCGGAUGACUUGUGGCUGGGGGUGAAAGGCCAAUCAAACCGGGAGAUAGCUGGUUCUCCCCGAAAUCUAUUUAGGUAGAGCCUUGUGUGAAUACCUUUGGGGGUAGAGCACUGUUUCGGCUAGGGGCCCAUCCUGGGUUACCAAACCGAUGCAAACUCCGAAUACCAAAGAGUAAUGCACAGGAGACACACGGCGGGUGCUAACGUCCGUCGUGGAGAGGGAAACAACCCAGACCGCCAGCUAAGGUCCCAAAAUCUAUAUUAAGUGGGAAACGAAGUGGGAAGGCUUAGACAGCUAGGAUGUUGGCUUAGAAGCAGCCACCAUUUAAAGAAAGCGUAAUAGCUCACUAGUCGAGUCGGCCUGCACGGAAGAUGUAACGGGGCUAAAAUAUAGUACCGAAGCUGCGGCAUCAGGCGUAUCACUAAUACGCCUUAACGAUUAACCACUUGCGAAGCAAGUGGGUAAAGCGAAAAACACGUUGAGUGUAAUGGCAAAGAAUCGAAGAGGGAUAUUAGUGAUACGUCUGUUGGGUAGGGGAGCGUUGUGUAAGCGGAAGAAGGUGGUUCGAGAGGAUUGCUGGACGUAUCACAAGUGCGAAUGCUGACAUAAGUAACGAUAAAACGGGUGAAAAACCCGUUCGCCGGAAGACCAAGGGUUCCUGUCCAACGUUAAUCGGGGCAGGGUGAGUCGGCCCCUAAGGCGAGGCUGAAAAGCGUAGUCGAUGGGAAACGGGUUAAUAUUCCCGUACUUGGUAAAGUUGCGAUGUGGGGACGGAGAAGGUUAGGUUAUCGACCUGUUGGAAAUGGUCGUUUAAGUUGGUAGGUGGGUGAGUUAGGCAAAUCCGGCUCACCGUUAACACUGAGAGAUGAUGACGAGGCACUAAGGUGCUGAAGUAACUGAUACCACACUUCCAGGAAAAGCCACUAAGCUUCAGGCUUUACUAAACCGUACUGAAAACCGACACAGGUGGUCAGGUAGAGAAUACUCAGGUGCUUGAGAGAACUCGGGUGAAGGAACUAGGCAAAAUAGCACCGUAACUUCGGGAGAAGGUGCGCCGGCGUAGAUUGUAGUGACUUGCUCACGAAGGUUGAACCGGUCGAAGAUACCAGCUGGCUGCAACUGUUUAUUAAAAACACAGCACUCUGCAAACACGAAAGUGGACGUAUAGGGUGUGAUGCCUGCCCGGUGCUGGAAGGUUAAUUGAUGGUGUAAUCGAAAGAGAAGCUCCAGAUCGAAGCCCCAGUAAACGGCGGCCGUAACUAUAACGGUCCUAAGGUAGCGAAAUUCCUUGUCGGGUAAGUUCCGACCUGCACGAAUGGCAUAAUGAUGGCCAGGCUGUCUCCACCCGAGACUCAGUGAAAUUGAAAUCGCCGUGAAGAUGCGGUGUACCCGCGGCUAGACGGAAAGACCCCGUGAACCUUUACUAUAGCUUGACACUGAACCUUGAAUUUUGAUGUGUAGGAUAGGUGGGAGACUGUGAAGCGGUAACGCCAGUUAUCGUGGAGUCGUUGUUGAAAUACCACCCUUUAACGUUUGAUGUUCUAACGAAGUGCCUGAAACGGGUACUCGGACAGUGUCUGGUGGGUAGUUUGACUGGGGCGGUCUCCUCCCAAAGAGUAACGGAGGAGCACGAAGGUUUGCUAAUGACGGUCGGACAUCGUCAGGUUAGUGCAAUGGUAUAAGCAAGCUUAACUGCGAGACAGACAAGUCGAGCAGGUGCGAAAGCAGGUCAUAGUGAUCCGGUGGUUCUGAAUGGAAGGGCCAUCGCUCAACGGAUAAAAGGUACUCCGGGGAUAACAGGCUGAUACCGCCCAAGAGUUCAUAUCGACGGCGGUGUUUGGCACCUCGAUGUCGGCUCAUCACAUCCUGGGGCUGAAGUAGGUCCCAAGGGUAUGGCUGUUCGCCAUUUAAAGUGGUACGCGAGCUGGGUUUAGAACGUCGUGAGACAGUUCGGUCCCUAUCUGCCGUGGGCGUUGGAGAAUUGAGAGGGGCUGCUCCUAGUACGAGAGGACCGGAGUGGACGCAUCACUGGUGUACCAGUUGUCUCGCCAGAGGCACUGCUGGGUAGCUAAAUGCGGAAGAGAUAAGUGCUGAAAGCAUCUAAGCACGAAACUUGCCUCAAGAUGAGUUCUCCCUGACUUAAAGUCAGUAAGGGUUGUUGGAGACGACGACGUAGAUAGGCUGGGUGUGUAAGCGGUGUGAGCCGUUGAGCUAACCAGUACUAAUUGCCCGAGAGGCUUAACUAUACAACGCUCAAGGGUUUUG
RNAcentral lists this ribosomal RNA (3027 nucleotides) under Avibacterium paragallinarum. RNAcentral describes it as "23S ribosomal RNA". It matches the Rfam family "Bacterial large subunit ribosomal RNA". The record is from RNAcentral. Lineage: Bacteria; Pseudomonadati; Pseudomonadota; Gammaproteobacteria; Pasteurellales; Pasteurellaceae.